ACCUGACGGAAGGAUCAUUG
Molecule: ribosomal RNA, 20 nt
Filed under: Archidendron lucidum
Lineage: Eukaryota; Viridiplantae; Streptophyta; Magnoliopsida; Fabales; Fabaceae
Description: partial 18S ribosomal RNA
Source: RNAcentral